GGGAGUGUAGUUCAGUGGUAGACCACAUACUUUGCUGGAAAAGGAAAUCCGGGUUCAAGCCCUGGGAUCUCCA
Non-coding RNA from Podarcis lilfordi (Lilford's wall lizard), 73 nucleotides. Lineage: Eukaryota; Metazoa; Chordata; Lepidosauria; Squamata; Lacertidae. The record is from the annotation of a GenBank genome assembly.